RNAcentral lists this long non-coding RNA (3746 nucleotides) under Homo sapiens (human). RNAcentral's name for it is "novel transcript". Lineage: Eukaryota; Metazoa; Chordata; Mammalia; Primates; Hominidae. The record is from RNAcentral.
AGGUGAAAGAGCUUAUGAUCCUAAGCACUUCCAUAAUAGGGUCAGUAGAAUCAUGAUCGAUGAUCAUAAUGUCCCCACUCUACGGGAGAUGGUAGCAUUCUCCAAGGAAGUGUUGGAGUGGAUGGCUCAAGAUUCUGAAAACAUCGUAGUGAUUCACUGUAAAGGAGGCAAAGAAUAGAUAUGUUGGAUAUUUUGCACAAGUGAAACAUAGCUACAACUGGAAUCUCCCUCCAAGAAAAACACUGUUUAUAAAAAGAUUCGUUAUUUAUUCGAUUCAUGGUGUUGGAACAGGCGAUGGAUAUGAUCUAAAAGUCCAAAUAGUAAUGAAGAAAAAGAUUGUCUUUUCCUGUACUUCCUUAAAGAAUUGUCGGGUAUUUCAUGACACUGAAACAGACAGGGUAAUAACUGAUGUGUUCAACUGUCCACCUCUGUAUGAUGAUGUGAAAGUGCAAGCUUCCUCUUCAAGAGAAGAGGGCAGCACACCUCGCAGGGCUAACUGGAAGGGGGAGCCAUCCAGGAGACCUGUGCUCAACUGAUGGGUGGGGAGCAAUAGCGAGAACGAGGGAGGGACCUGAGAGUGGAAGCCUUUAUUGGGAUGUAAGGUGUUACCUGAGCAGGUUUCCUACGGGGAGGUCUAACUGGUGGAUUUAAUGCAAGCAGUCAUGAGUUCCAUGGAGUCAUGCUGUGACUGAGAGGUGGUCAUUGAUAUAUCCACAUGGUCCAUGCAGAGUACGGGGGUCUGUAGGGAGGUUAUAUCUAGCUGUCCCAUAAUGAAGUAGUCACCAACAGAAGGUUGUAUAAGGCAGAUACUGGGAUCAGUCACAUUGAGAAACCUGGAGGAGGUGAACUGGAAACUGUCAAGGGUGACUGAACCCUGCUUCUGAUAUCAGAAAGUCCAAUUUAUAUUUGAAAGGGAUGCUGAGGCACAAAAAAAUUGUAAGAAUUCACUACAAAAAUACUUGGCUAUAUAUAAGCAUAGGUCCUUAGUAGAUUCUGUUUAGCACUAUCUAAACCAGAUUCAAAUUUCAGCAUUUAAAUUAAAUAUCUAUCAUGGAAAAUAAACUAUUCCUUGAAAAUUUUGGUAGAAACAGCAAGAGAAAGCAAUAGCAUUUUCUUAAGCCUCCUCCUCUGUGUCUUGAGUGUGUUAUUAUAGAAUGCAGAGUGCUACCUAUUGAAUGGUUAUAAUUAUUUGAUAAAUAUAUAAAGGAAUAAAGGAAGGAACUUUGAUUUCUUUGGAAUGAUUAGUUCUUGGCAUCAAUUUUACUUUUAAAAUAUUUUUUUUUCUUUUUAGGAUUUUCCUAAAUACUAUCACAACUACCCUUUUUUCUUCUGGUUUAACACAUCUUUAAUACAAAAUAACGGGUAUGGAUAUAAUAUCAACCCAUAGAAACAACCUAAUCUUCAAUGUCUAUGUAUAAGAUGUAAUGGCAAGUCUUUUGCUGGUUGUCAUAAGCUUAAUUUAUAGAAAACAAAAAAUCCUUGAGCCACCAUUGUUCAUUGCCUUACUCCUUUUACGUUGGCUAUUUUAAAAAUACAGUUGUUCUUGAGACCCCCAGUUGCAGUAUCCUCAAGGUCCAUGCCAUAGGACUGUGUUAUGAGCUCAAAAGUAUUAUAAUCAGAUCUUAAGUGUGGAAGUAAAUUCCUCCCAGAGAAGUUCAAUAUGAAUCUGCUCAGUACCUUCAACAUGUCAGGUCCUCAGUAGGUGCUGAUUUACCAAUGACGAACCACCACCAAAUUUUGUGCUAAAGUAAGGGAGGACCUAGGGAAGCUUCAGCUAGCUGAAAAGCUGACUGACACACUUAUAUCUAGGAGAAGUUACAAGACACAGUAAGUAUUAAGAAAUACAGCUAAAAAAUCAUUAAAAUUGGUAGUCUCCCAUUUAAACAUGGGUUUCUAAUAACUGAAUUGGGAAAACUUUCUUAAAAACUAUUAAUUGGAGGCUGGGUGUGGUGGCUCAUGCCUGUAAUCCUAGCACUUUGGGAGGCUGAGGCGGGCGGAUCACCUAAGGUUGGAAGUUCGAGACUAGCCUGGCCAACAUGGUAAAACUCCGUCUCUACUAAAAAUACAAAAAUCAGCCAGGCGUGGUGGCACAUGCCUGUAAUCCCAGCUACUCAGGAGGCUGAGCCAGUAGAAUCGCUUGAACCCAGGAGGCAGAUUGCAGUGAGCCGAGAUCGCACCACUACACUCCAGCCUGGGCGACAGAGUGAGACUCUGUCUAAAGAAAAAAGCAAAAAAACAGAACAACUAUUACUUGGAUUUGGAGAUUAUUGUUCCCAGAAAACCUUCUGCCAUAUUUGGAAACUUAUUUCUCAGUCUAGAAGUUCUCCACUUUAAGUAGCAUUUGUUCUGUGCUGGUGAAAAACUGAGAUUUUUUUGUAUUAACCAUACUCUUCAAUACAAAAAGAGAAAAUAUUUUUAAAAUGCUUCAGGUCACAGUUGAGGCAGUUGCUAUGAUUGCAUGUGGCAUGAAUUGGUAGUUAUUGUUACAACCAGUUCUAGUCUUUUCUUCAAAUCUGAGCUGGAUCUAAUAACUCCUUAAGUCCAGCAAGGCAACAGUAAAUUAAACCUCUGGUCUACACACUUGCAAUACAUACACAUUUAAUAGAUUUUGAUAGAGUGAACUUUGGAUUGGAUGGAAAUUUUUUAAAAAUUUGUUUCUUGGAUGCAUACAAACAAUAAGCUUUGACUCCUAACAUGAGCAAAGUCCCUCAAUUGUGAGAGCUGGGUGGAGCUUCAUUUGUUGCUGCUCCUCAAAUUGAUUCUUGGUAAAGGAUACAGAUUUUUCCUUUGAAACACCAUGUUCAUUUUGGGGAAGCAAUAAGUUAGAUCACCUUUAUUUUCACUUUUAUAUAAAUUUCUAAAGAUUUCUGUAAUAUUUAAAUUUAUAUACUAUUGGUAAAGCUGUUUUUCUUAGUUGUGAAAUUGUUGUUUAGCCAAAAAUGCCAACUUCUGUCUUUUAGAACACUAGGCAUAAAUGGGUUAACCAAUUUAUGCCUAGUGUUCCAUUAUUGGAAUGCUAAGCAUGUGGGAUUUAUUUAUAUCCUACUGCUCAAGGUCAUCGCCAAGGGCUGAUUGCAAAAAUUCAAAAAAUUGCAACCUCAGGCAUAAAUUAAAAGAGAUAUAGUAUUUUAUUAUUGGGUUUUGAUACAUGUCUAAUCAGACUGAUUUCUGUCACAUAUAGAAAUUUAGAUACUGUAUUAAACCUAGAUGUCAUUAAUUCCAUAAAAAGCAACGUUAAAAGAAUCAGUAGCAUGUGUUACUGAUGUGUUGCUGAAGAUUAAGAUAUUUUUAAGUCUCACCGAAAAGGUAGAAGGAGCCAACUGAGACACAAAAAGGGGCUGAGGUUCUAUUCAUGGUGAGCAAGUCUUUUUUUUGUUUGUUUCUUCAAGCUCUAACAAGGGUGCCUACUACAUGGCUUUUCAGUUAGCCCCAAAAUAAAAUGUAACAAUUUUUUUUUCUAUUCUUAGGCUUUAUCUACAAAGAAAUGAAUUGGAUAAUCUUCAUAAACAAAAAACAUGGAAAAUUUAUCAACCAGAAUAUGCAGUAGAGAUAUAUUUUAAUGAGAAAUGACUUAAGUUAUGUUGUAACUGGUAGCUGAUUAAGUAUAGUUCCCUGCACCCCUUCUGGGAAAGAAUUAUGUUCUUUCUAACCCUGCCACAUAGUUAUAUGUUCUAAAUCUUCCUUGCUGGUACAUCUAUAUUGAUAUAUGUAUACACAUGUUCUUUAUAAAUCUAUUAAAUAUAUAC